RNAcentral lists this ribosomal RNA (502 nucleotides) under uncultured bacterium. Its description in RNAcentral is "partial 16S ribosomal RNA". It matches the Rfam family "Bacterial small subunit ribosomal RNA", at positions 28 to 523 of the family's 1533-position model. The record is from RNAcentral.
GAUGAACGCUGGCGGCAUGCCUUACACAUGCAAGUCGAACGGCAGCACGGGAGCUUGCUCCUGGUGGCGAGUGGCGAACGGGUGAGUAAUACAUCGGAACGUACCCAGUAGUGGGGGAUAACGCACCGAAAGGUGCGCUAAUACCGCAUACGACCUACGGGUGAAAGCGGGGGACCGUAAGGCCUCGCGCUAUUGGAGCGGCCGAUGUCUGAUUAGCUAGUUGGUGAGGUAAAGGCUCACCAAGGCUUCGAUCAGUAGCUGGUCUGAGAGGACGAUCAGCCACACUGGGACUGAGACACGGCCCAGACUCCUACGGGAGGCAGCAGUGGGGAAUUUUGGACAAUGGGCGAAAGCCUGAUCCAGCAAUGCCGCGUGUGCGAAGAAGGCCUUCGGGUUGUAAAGCACUUUUGUCAGGGAAGAAAUCUUUUAGGCUAAUACCCUGGAAGGAUGACGGUACCUGAAGAAUAAGCACCGGCUAACUACGUGCCAGCCGCCGCCGUAA